Molecule: ribosomal RNA, 246 nt
Filed under: uncultured bacterium
Lineage: Bacteria
Description: partial small subunit ribosomal RNA
Rfam family: Bacterial small subunit ribosomal RNA
Source: RNAcentral
AGAAUCAACGCUGGCGGCGUGCCCUAACACAUGCAAGUCGAACGAGAAAGUGGAGCAAUCCAUGAGUAAAGUGGCGCACGGGUGAGUAACACGUGACUAACCUACCCUUGAGUGGGGGAUAACCUAGAGAAAUCUGGGCUAAUACCGCAUAAUACCUUCGGGUCAAAGGAGCAAUUCGCUUAAGGAGGGGGUCGCGGCCGAUUAGUUAGUUGGCGGGGUAAUGGCCCACCAAGACUAUGAUCGGUA